RNAcentral lists this signal recognition particle RNA (99 nucleotides) under Acidobacteriota bacterium. Its description in RNAcentral is "signal recognition particle sRNA small type". It matches the Rfam family "Bacterial small signal recognition particle RNA". From Rfam's summary of the family: The signal recognition particle (SRP) is a universally conserved ribonucleoprotein involved in the co-translational targeting of proteins to membranes. Archaeal SRP consists of a 7S RNA and homologues of the eukaryotic SRP19 and SRP54 proteins. In most bacteria, the SRP consists of a 4.5S RNA and the Ffh protein (a homologue of the eukaryotic SRP54 protein). Lineage: Bacteria; Pseudomonadati; Acidobacteriota. RNAcentral also lists the same sequence under 1 other name. The record is from RNAcentral.
GUUCGGGUCCCGCGCGACGGUCCCCUCCGAACCGUGUCAGAUCCGGAAGGAAGCAGCACUCAGGAGAAAGGCCCGGGCGCCGCGGAUCGCCCGGACUCA